CACCUAGGAGACACUUUGAGGCACUCACCCUGUAACACAUAGCUCCUCAGAAGGCAGCCACACUUUACAUCUGCUGGCUAAACCUCUUUUUUGUUGUUGUUUUUUGGAUUCUACCUCUUGCUCUCCAGAUAAACUCUCUCCCUGUACAGCCAUGCCCUAGCUUCCUACACUCCACCCAGUUUCUGUCUCCUGAAAUCUGACUUCUCCUUUGCAUUUUAGAGCCUUCUUGCGGGCAGUUUGGACUCUGGGAAUUCCUUGCAAGAAACAAACCACACAGCCAAGAGUGAAGCCGAGAGAAUGAAUUGAGUCUUACUGGGAAUCACCAGGGCAAGUGGGGGCUGGUAGCAGAGACAUUCUCUAAGGACCUGUGAUCCUCCGCACUACAGAGUCCCUCCUCCCAGACACCCCUCAACUCUGGCUCCCCGCUCCACUGAAGAUCCCACAACCCCAACCUCAGCAUUGCUGAGGAUUCAGAGUCUGACCCAGAAGCUAAAUUGUUCUUGAACUUGUGGUAAUCUCGACUCAACUCUGGAUUGCUGGAAUUAUAGGCAUAAGCCACUGUACCCCCGAACCCUUAGAAUCACACUUCUUCAAUAAGCUGGGAAGGACAACAUCUAUCAACAGGAUUCUCAAGCCAGGCGGUGGUGGCGUACACCUUUAAUCCCAGCACUUGGGAGCCAGAGGCAGGUGAAUUUCUGAGUUCGAGGCCAGCCUGGUCUACAGAGUGAGUUCCAGGAUAGCCAGGGCUACACAGAGAAACCCUGUCUCCAAAAUAAAAAACAAAACAAAACAACCCCCCCCCCCAAUCUCAAAAAGUAUCUCAAGGGAUGGCUGGAGAAAUGUCUCAGUGGUUAGGAGCACAGGCUGCUUUUCCAGAGGACCCUGGUUUAGCACCCACAUGGCAGUUUACAAUCAUCUGUAACUCCAACUCCAGGGGAUCUGAUGCCUUCCUCUGGUAUCCCCAGGCACCAGACAUGCACAUAGUGCGUAGACAUUUGUACAGGUAAAACACGUAUAUGCUUAAAAUAAAAAUAAAAAUAUAAGGGGCUGGAAAAUGGCUCAAUGGUAAAGAGCACUGGCUGCUCAUCCAGAGGUCCCAGGUUCAGUUCCCAGCACUUACACGGCAGCUCACAGCCAUCUGUAACUCCAGUUUUAAGGAAACUGACACCCUCUUUUGGAUAUCACGGGCACCAGGCAUGCAAGUGAUACACAGACAGACAGACAGACAGACACUCUUGGGCAAAACACCUAUACACAUAAAAUGAAAUAAAAAACAGAAAUUUCAAAAUGUUGUGAGGUGAAGUUCAAAUGUAGUGUGUGUGUGUGUGUGUGUGUGUGAGAGAGAGAGAGAGA
Molecule: long non-coding RNA, 1353 nt
Organism: Mus musculus (house mouse)
Lineage: Eukaryota; Metazoa; Chordata; Mammalia; Rodentia; Muridae
Product: predicted gene, 50590
Exons: 3
Source: RefSeq, a predicted model, not a curated record